Molecule: ribosomal RNA, 292 nt
Filed under: uncultured bacterium
Lineage: Bacteria
Description: partial 16S ribosomal RNA
Rfam family: Bacterial small subunit ribosomal RNA
Source: RNAcentral
GUGCCAGCAGCCGCGGUAAUACGUAGGGUGCGAGCGUUAAUCGGAAUUACUGGGCGUAAAGCGUGCGUAGGCGGUUUGCCGUGUCCUGUGUGAAAGCCCCGGGCUCAACCUGGGAAUUGCAUGGGAAACUGGCAGGCUUGAGUGUGGCAGAGGAGGGUGGAAUUCCGCGUGUAGCAGUGAAAUGCGUAGAGAUGCGGAGGAACACCGAUGGCGAAGGCAGCCCUCUGGGCCAACACUGACGCUCAGGCACGAAAGCGUGGGGAGCAAACAGGAUUAGAAACCCCUGUAGUCC